This 1346-nucleotide ribosomal RNA is filed under the name uncultured bacterium. Its description in RNAcentral is "bacterial SSU rRNA". It matches the Rfam family "Bacterial small subunit ribosomal RNA", at positions 28 to 1381 of the family's 1533-position model. The record is from RNAcentral.
GACGAACGCUGGCGGCGUGCUUAACACAUGCAAGUCGAACGGAAAGGCCCUGCUUUUGUGGGGUGCUCGAGUGGCGAACGGGUGAGUAACACGUGAGUAACCUGCCCUUGACUUUGGGAUAACUUCAGGAAACUGGGGCUAAUACCGGAUAGGAGCUCCUGCUGCAUGGUGGGGGUUGGAAAGUUUCGGCGGUUGGGGAUGGACUCGCGGCUUAUCAGCUUGUUGGUGGGGUAGUGGCUUACCAGGGCUUUGACGGGUAGCCGGCCUGAGAGGGUGACCGGCCACAUUGGGACUGAGAUACGGCCCAGACUCCUACGGGAGGCAGCAGUGGGGAAUAUUGCACAAUGGGCGGAAGCCUGAUGCAGCAACGCCGCGUGCGGGAUGACGGCCUUCGGGUUGUAAACCGCUUUCGCCUGUGACGAAGCGUGAGUGACGGUAAUGGGUAAAGAAGCACCGGCUAACUACGUGCCAGCAGCCGCGGUGAUACGUAGGGUGCGAGCGUUGUCCGGAUUUAUUGGGCGUAAAGGGCUCGUAGGUGGUUGAUCGCGUCGGAAGUGUAAUCUUGGGGCUUAACCCUGAGCGUGCUUUCGAUACGGGUUGACUUGAGGAAGGUAGGGGAGAAUGGAAUUCCUGGUGGAGCGGUGGAAUGCGCAGAUAUCAGGAGGAACACCAGUGGCGAAGGCGGUUCUCUGGGCCUUUCCUGACGCUGAGGAGCGAAAGCGUGGGGAGCGAACAGGCUUAGAUACCCUGGUAGUCCACGCUGUAAACGGUGGGUACUAGGUGUGGGGUCCAUUCCACGGGUUCCGUGCCGUAGCUAACGCUUUAAGUACCCCGCCUGGGGAGUACGGCCGCAAGGCUAAAACUCAAAGGAAUUGACGGGGCCCCGCACAAGCGGCGGAGCAUGCGGAUUAAUUCGAUGCAACGCGUAGAACCUUACCUGGGUUUGACAUGGAUCGGGAGCGCUCAGAGAUGGGUGUGCCUCUUUUGGGGUCGGUUCACAGGUGGUGCAUGGCUGUCGUCAGCUCGUGUCGUGAGAUGUUGGGUUAAGUCCCGCAACGAGCGCAACCCUUGUUCACUGUUGCCAGCACGUUAUGGUGGGGACUCAGUGGAGACCGCCGGGGUCAACUCGGAGGAAGGUGGGGAUGACGUCAAGUCAUCAUGCCCCUUAUGUCCAGGGCUUCACGCAUGCUACAAUGGCUGGUACAGAGAGUGGCGAGCCUGUGAGGGUGAGCGAAUCUCGGAAAGCCGGUCUCAGUUCGGAUUGGGGUCUGCAACUCGACCUCAUGAAGUCGGAGUCGCUAGUAAUCGCAGAUCAGCAACGCUGCGGUGAAUACGUUCCCGGGGCU